UGACUUCACACGUGAGCCACACCCUGACCUUGCAAGACGUUACACUCGGCAAGAUAAAGAGAGCACAGCACAUGUGUCAGUACAACAUGCUUGGCUUUUGUUUUCCUCUCCAUUUUGCCAAUGGGCAUAGCUGAAUAAUUUAUGCCGGAGGAACGUGCUGGAUGUUCCAGCCUGGAACACAGAACUACAUUGUUCAUAUCCUGGAUGGCUAGUGGUGAUGGGUGGGACGAGUGUUCAUCUUCAUCAUCUGUUCGUCUUCGCAGAGCAUUAUACCAUCAGAAGAAAUAUCGGUCUUCGCAGGGCAUUAUACCAUCAGAAGAAAUGUGAAGAUGACACCAAAGCAUCAUCAAGUGCUAUCUAGUUACUAGUUAGAUACUAGUUGCCCUAUAAAAAACAUAUUUCAUAAAGUGGCAAAUUGUUG
This is a long non-coding RNA of Clupea harengus (Atlantic herring), 421 nucleotides long. The record is from Ensembl. Lineage: Eukaryota; Metazoa; Chordata; Actinopteri; Clupeiformes; Clupeidae.